AUGUGUCGUAUUCUGAACACUUUCCGUACUCAUAAAUUGAGUUCGUGGCAACUUUUCUCUAGACUAGGAUGCAUCAAUCGCCAUGCCAGGGAACAGAAACAUGGCAACUUUUUAGCACCUCUCCAUUUGCCAUAUUCUAAACACUGGCCGUACUCACAUACUGAGAACAUGGCAACUUCAUCUGCACCAAGAUGCAUUAACUGCCAUGCCAGUGAACAUAACCAUGGGAAAUGUAGCCAUUUUUUCAUUAUGUAUGAUGUUGUUUCCAACAAAAUUGCUAUGUUGUUCAGUCAUAUUGGUAAUGCCACAUUUCUCAUGCUGUUACGAUGGGUUACUUUAGUGUGA
RNAcentral lists this ribosomal RNA (345 nucleotides) under Triticum aestivum (bread wheat). Its description in RNAcentral is "partial small subunit ribosomal RNA". Lineage: Eukaryota; Viridiplantae; Streptophyta; Magnoliopsida; Poales; Poaceae. The record is from RNAcentral.